Molecule: ribosomal RNA, 399 nt
Filed under: uncultured Streptococcus sp.
Lineage: Bacteria; Bacillati; Bacillota; Bacilli; Lactobacillales; Streptococcaceae
Description: bacterial SSU rRNA
Rfam family: Bacterial small subunit ribosomal RNA
Source: RNAcentral
UUGACAUCCCGAUGCUAUUUCUAGAGAUGAAAGUUACUUCGGUACAUCGGUGACAGGUGGUGCAUGGUUGUCGUCAGCUCGUGUCGUGAGAUGUUGGGUUAAGUCCCGCAACGAGCGCAACCCCUAUUGUUAGUUGCCAUCAUUCAGUUGGGCACUCUAGCGAGACUGCCGGUAAUAAACCGGAGGAAGGUGGGGAUGACGUCAAAUCAUCAUGCCCCUUAUGACCUGGGCUACACACGUGCUACAAUGGUUGGUACAACGAGUUGCGAGUCGGUGACGGCGAGCUAAUCUCUUAAAGCCAAUCUCAGUUCGGAUUGUAGGCUGCAACUCGCCUACAUGAAGUCGGAAUCGCUAGUAAUCGCGGAUCAGCACGCCGCGGUGAAUACGUUCCCGGGCCUU